Molecule: non-coding RNA, 28 nt
Filed under: Drosophila melanogaster (fruit fly)
Lineage: Eukaryota; Metazoa; Arthropoda; Insecta; Diptera; Drosophilidae
Source: RNAcentral
UGAUAUCCUGAGCAAGUGCUCUGCCCGA